CCCCUAGAUGUUCUGGGCCGCACGCGCGCUACACUGAACAGUUCAACAAGUCUUAACCUUGGCCGAUAGGUCUGGGUAAUCUUUGAACGCUGUUCGUGAUUGGGAUAGACCUUUGCAAUUAUGGGUCUUCAACGAGGAAUUCCUAGUAAACGCAAGUCAUCAGCUUGCAUUGAUUACGUCCCUGCCCUUUGUACACACCGCCCGUCGCACCUACCGAAUGAAUGGUCCGGUGAAAUCUCGGGACGGCGGCUUGGUCGCUUGCGUCCGACUGCUGAAACUUGAUUAAACCAUAUCAUUUAGAGGAAGGUGAAGUCGUAACA
This 320-nucleotide ribosomal RNA is filed under the name uncultured eukaryote. RNAcentral describes it as "partial 18S ribosomal RNA". It matches the Rfam family "Eukaryotic small subunit ribosomal RNA", at positions 1470 to 1796 of the family's 1831-position model. The record is from RNAcentral.